AGUGAACGCUGGCGGUAGGCCUAACACAUGCAAGUCGAACGGCAGCACAGUAAGAGCUUGCUCUUACGGGUGGCGAGUGGCGGACGGGUGAGGAAUACAUCGUAAUCUACUUUUUCGUGGGGGAUAACGUAGGGAAACUUACGCUAAUACCGCAUACGACCUACGGGUGAAAGCAGGGGAGCUUCGGACCUUGCGCGAUUGAAUGAGCCGAUGUCGGAUUAGCUAGUUGGCGGGGUAAGGGCCCACCAAGGCGACGAUCCGUAGCUGGUCUGAGAGGAUGAUCAGCCACACUGGAACUGAGACACGGUCCAGACUCCUACGGGAGGCAGCAGUGGGGAAUAUUGGGCAAUGGGCGCAAGCCUGAUCCAGCCAUACCGCGUGGGUGAAGAAGGCCUUCGGGUUGUAAAGCCCUUUUGUUGGGAAAGAAAAGCAGCAGGUUAAUACCCCGCUGUUCUGACGGUACCCAAAGAAUAAGCACCGGCUAACUUCGUG
Molecule: ribosomal RNA, 492 nt
Filed under: uncultured bacterium
Lineage: Bacteria
Description: partial 16S ribosomal RNA
Rfam family: Bacterial small subunit ribosomal RNA
Source: RNAcentral